Molecule: long non-coding RNA, 962 nt
Organism: Callithrix jacchus (white-tufted-ear marmoset)
Lineage: Eukaryota; Metazoa; Chordata; Mammalia; Primates; Cebidae
Source: RefSeq, a predicted model, not a curated record
UGGUCUUCCUAUGUUGCUGAGGCUGGUCUCAAACUCCUGGGCUCAAGUGAUCCUCCCACCUUGGCCUUCCAAAGUGCUGGGAUUAUAGUCAUGAGCCACUGCGCCUGGCCAAGGAUUUUGUACUUGGUUUUCCAAGCAGAUUUUUAAAGGGCCAGUGGAAACGCUGCAUGUCACCUGCUGUCACCCAGUCUGACCACAGCACAUAAUUUCAAGAAUGAAAAGCCUCAUUCAGACACAUGGCCUUGCAAAGAGAAAACUGGGUCUUGUCAAUGUGAUGGUCUAAGCUAACUGUGUAGUAUAUGUGGGAAUCCAGCCACCUCUCUUUGAAGAUCAAAGCACUUCAAAAGCUCCAUCCUGUUCAGACCUAUGGGACUGAGUCUUGCUCUGUUGCCAGGCUACAGUACAGUGGCACGAUCUUGGCUCACUGCAACCUCUGCCUCCUAGGUUCAAGUGAUUCUCCUGCCUCAGCCUCCUGAGUAGCUAGGAUGACAGGCGGCAUUGAAGGAAUCAAUUUACUUUUCCACAGUAGUGUCCCGUUGCUGUGAAUGUCCUUGUCAACUCUUGGAAUGAUCACAUUUACAAAUUUUUACCAAGCAUGUAGGUCCGCCAAAUCCGGAAGAAGAUGAUGGAAAUCAUGACCCAAGAGGUGCAGACAAAUGACUUGAAGCAAGUGGUCAAUAAACUGAUUCCAGACAGCAUUGGAAAAGACAUAGAGACGGCUUGCCAAUCUAUUUAUCCUCUCCAUGAUGUCUUCGUUAGAAAAGUAAAAAUGCUGAAGAAGCCCAAGUUUGAGUUGGGAAAACUCAUGGAGCUUCACGGUAAAGGCAGUAGUUCUGGAAAAGCUACUGGGGAUGAGACAGGUGCUAACGUUGAAUGAGCUGAUGGGUAUGAACCACCAGUCCAAGAAUCUGUUUAAAGUUCAGACUUAUAAUAGUGGCAAAUAAAAAGUCUUAUUUGUGAAA